Peromyscus eremicus (cactus mouse) is the source of this 1523-nucleotide long non-coding RNA. RefSeq lists it as uncharacterized. The record is from RefSeq and is a predicted model, not a curated record. The transcript has 2 exons. NCBI's taxonomy places the organism in Eukaryota, Metazoa, Chordata, Mammalia, Rodentia, Cricetidae.
UUUAACCAUUUUGAAGUGUAUGCUGCUGCUGUUUGGAUCCCGAAUGCCGCUCCUUUCUCCUCUCAUUUCUUGGAUUCCAUGAGGUGACAGACCUUGUUUACCACAUGUUCCCUCCACCAUGUGCUGUGACCAUGAGCUGAAAACUCUGAAACUGUGAGGAAAAAAUAGACCUUUGUUCUUUAUAAGCUGACUAUCUCAGGGACUUUGUCACAGUGAUAGAAAGUUCUGUGACAUAAAGGACGUGCACGUGGUCACGCUUCCAUCACCACCAUGCAUCUCCAAAACCUUUCACUUCCCUCUGACACCCACACACUAAAUACCGACUGCCCGGUGCUUUCUCCUGACAGCCGCUCCCGCCUUGUCUGUGAGGCUGGCCGGCCACUCUAGGAAGUUCAUGCAUGAGGAACUAUGUAGACUUUACCUUUAGAACUGUUUUCACAUUUAUGUGUGCGUGCACAUACACACCAAGACACACAUGCAGAGGUCAGACAGGUGUGGGUCACUUCCCAUCGUGUGGCUUCGGCCAAGGCCUCCUGCUGAGCUUUCUCCCUGGCCCAGUAUUGGCUGUUUUGAGGUUGGCUUACUUCAAGGUUCAUCCACAUUUCAGUGUGUCCCCAAUAUGUGCCUGCUUUUGAAAGCUGGCUAGCAUCCCUCUCUGGAUGGAGUUUUGUUUCUUCGUUCUACCCAUCCACAGGCACUGAGCUGGCCCCGCUUUUGCUCAGAGCCUAAUGAGCUUUCUUAUCACUCUGUGAAGUCUCCACCAAUUAAGGACACCUCCUCCUCGUCAGCAUGUGCUGAACUUGGCAAUGGAGUUGAUGUUCCUAACUCCUAUCGGGUAGGAAGACAUCCUCAGGAAGUGAAACCUCAGGGUCUAGGAACUAGGGUCCCUGCUGAUUCCGAGCCUCUUCCAGCCCAGCUCCGGAGAACACGUUACUGAUGGAUAAUGGCACACUUACGCCUGUGGGUGCCGCGCCAUCCCUGCUGCCUUGUCAUACAGCUCCCAGGCAGAUGAGGCAGUGUUGCUAUUUUACCUGCAUGCAAGUGGAGGCUCUCGGGGUCCUGUCAUGUGACCAGGGUCCACAGUUGGUUGGAGACAGAGCAGGGAUUUGAACCACUGUGUAUGUUUCCUCAUAGCACCUCAGGGGCCCUUCUGGUUUAUACUCCAGAUCCAGCAGGAACAUUGGCUGUCUGAGGUGCUGUUCGAAGUCGCCUCAGGCUGAGCCCCAGCCAGCUCACCUGACUUCAGGGUGACUAGCAGCUGAUGGUAUCUUCCACUGAGCACCUUGGCUCUCCCCACACAGCCCUGCUCCAGCCCACGUCGGGGAAUGCCUACAUUUGUCCUCCUACUUGGGAGCAAAUGUGGCCGCAGCCAGCUGAGAAGCAGAUGCCUAGAGGAGCCUCCUCCCUUAAUCCUGCACUCAUAGGGACCAAGUUUCUUAGUCACCAAUGACAGCCCACCACAAACAUGCAGAAGACGAGGAGUCAGUGGGGAUAAACAACCUUAAUAAACAAACCUUAAUGUC